This is a long non-coding RNA of Drosophila busckii, 382 nucleotides long. RefSeq lists it as uncharacterized. Lineage: Eukaryota; Metazoa; Arthropoda; Insecta; Diptera; Drosophilidae. The record is from RefSeq and is a predicted model, not a curated record. The transcript has 2 exons.
UUCAAUCAAGAGUUUCAAAUUAUUUUUAGUAGCAUACACUUUGCUAGUAAACAGUAAAAUCAAUUGCCAAAUUAGUUUCAGUGCCAUGUAUCGUACUCUAAGCUAUAUGCUGCCCAUAGCAGCGAAUCGUAUGCGCAAAUUGGAGCUAAUACUGUUGAAUGUAAAGCUGCCAGAGCUCAGAGCGCAAAGCGUUAAGCCACGCCCACAGCCAGCGUCAAGCAACUGUUAAUCACAGCUGCUGCUCAGUGUAUUGUGUACGUUUUUGCUUUGUGCCUGGUGUAUUCUUUAUUUUUAAUUACUUUUAUACUUGUCUGUUUGUAUUUCGAUGUCGCUGUAGGUGUAAAAGCAAUUGAAAAUUUAUAAAAAUACAUUUGGAGAGCGA